Molecule: unclassified non-coding RNA, 313 nt
Filed under: Hevea brasiliensis (rubber tree)
Lineage: Eukaryota; Viridiplantae; Streptophyta; Magnoliopsida; Malpighiales; Euphorbiaceae
Source: RNAcentral
CCUUUUGCUUCAUUUUUCUUUUUGCAUUUUUUUCCCUUUUUUUUUUGAUAACUAUAACAUUUACAUCAGCAUCUCCAAUCCAGCCUAACCUCGCUGAGUCCCCAAACAUGCUGAUCAGGCUUCCGAAAUGACACAAUGUGGCUGCUCACCAUGAAGGCAGUUACACGCUUCGAAACCCUAAUAUCCUCCAUCUUCAACUCCUGCAGUCGCCGGACGUAUUCCGGCACGUGCACUAUGUCCCACACAACUCCAAUCCCACCAGGUUUCAAAACCCUAACCAUCUCACCCAAUGCCCUCAUUCUCUCUGCUGCUG